This is a long non-coding RNA of Impatiens glandulifera, 471 nucleotides long. RefSeq lists it as uncharacterized. NCBI's taxonomy places the organism in Eukaryota, Viridiplantae, Streptophyta, Magnoliopsida, Ericales, Balsaminaceae. The record is from RefSeq and is a predicted model, not a curated record. The transcript is spliced from 2 exons.
AGCGAUCAAAUAACAUAAAGAAGAAAAACGCAGUCUUCUUCUUCUUCUCCGAGUGUAACCGAUCGCAGAUCGCCGGUCUUCAGAAAUCCUAUCAGUUUUCCGCCGCCGGCAUCGUUUAAAGAACAAGAAGAUGAUUGAUGAUCAGGACUUGGGCUUCUUUGCCAAUUUUCUCGGGAUCUUUAUAUUUGUGCUCGUGAUUGCUUACCAUUACGUGAUGGCUGAUCCAAAUUACGGAGGCAACUGAAUAUUCUCUACAGACGAGCAAUGUGAUGUCUUUCAAGCCCAAAAAAUGUGACUUUUAUCUGAUGCUAUUGUUAGACUCUUUUGAUUAUACUCUAAUGGUGUUGCAGACUUCUUAGAGUCUUUUUGUAGUUUUAUCUGGAUAAUCACCAUACCUUGCUAUUUAGUUCCAUUUUGUCUUGUUUUAAAUAACCCCUUAAACCAUUUAUCUUUAAAUCUUUAUAUUUUUUC